CGAAUGCUGACAUAAGUAACGAUAAAGCGGGUGAAAAGCCCGCUCGCCGGAAGACCAAGGGUUCCUGUCCAACGUUAAUCGGGGCAGGGUGAGUCGACCCCUAAGGCGAGGCCGAAAGGCGUAGUCGAUGGGAAACAGGUUAAUAUUCCUGUACUUGGUGUUACUGCGAAGGGGGGACGGAGAAGGCUAUGUUGGCCGGGCGACGGUUGUCCCGGUUUAAGCGUGUAGGCUGGUUUUCCAGGCAAAUCCGGAAAAUCAAGGCUGAGGCGUGAUGACGAGGCACUACGGUGCUGAAGCAACAAAUGCCCUGCUUCCAGGAAAAGCCUCUAAGCAUCAGGUAACAUCA
Molecule: ribosomal RNA, 346 nt
Filed under: Escherichia coli
Lineage: Bacteria; Pseudomonadati; Pseudomonadota; Gammaproteobacteria; Enterobacterales; Enterobacteriaceae
Description: partial 23S ribosomal RNA
Rfam family: Bacterial large subunit ribosomal RNA
Source: RNAcentral